Molecule: ribosomal RNA, 914 nt
Filed under: uncultured marine archaeon
Lineage: Archaea
Description: bacterial SSU rRNA
Rfam family: Archaeal small subunit ribosomal RNA
Source: RNAcentral
UUCCGGUUGAUCCUGCCGGACCUGACUGCUAUCGGAUUGAUACUAAGCCAUGCGAGUCUUUGCAGUAAUGCAAGGCAUACGGCUCAGUAACACGUAGUCAACUUACCCUAUGGACGAGGAUAAUCUCGGGAAACUGAGCAUAAUACUCGAUAGAUCAUAAUGCCUGGAAUGGUUUAUGGUUAAAAUGAUUCGUCGCCAUAGGAUGGGACUGCGGCCUAUCAGCUUGUUGGUGAGGUAAUGGCCCACCAAGGCGAUUACAGGUACGGGCUCUGAGAGGAGAAGCCCGGAGAUGGGUACUGAGACAAGGACCCAGGCCCUAUGGGGCGCAGCAGGCGAGAAAACUUUGCAAUGUGCGAAAGCACGACAAGGUUAAUCCGAGUGAUUUCUGCUAAAGAAAUCUUUUGCAAGUCAUAAAACCACUAGUGAAUAAGGGGUGGGCAAGUUCUGGUGUCAGCCGCCGCGGUAAAACCAGCACCUCAAGUGGUCAGGAGGAUUAUUGGGCCUAAAGCAUCCGUAGCCGGCUCUGUAAGUUUUCGGUUAAAUCCAUGUGCUCAACACAUGGGCUGCCGAAAAUACUGCAUAGCUAGGGAGUGGGAGAGGUAGACGGUACUCGGUAGGAAGGGGUAAAAUCCUUUGAUCUAUCGAUGACCACCUGUGGCGAAGGCGGUCUACCAGAACACGUUCGACGGUGAGGGAUGAAAGCUGGGGGAGCAAACCGGAUUAGAUACCCGGGUAGUCCCAGCUGUAAACGAUGCAGACUCGAUGAUGCAUUGGCAUAUAGCCAGUGCAGUGUCGCAGGGAAGCCGUUAAGUCUGCCGCCUGGGAAGUACGUACGCAAGUAUGAAACUUAAAGGAAUUGGCGGGGGAGCACCACAAGGGGUGAAGCCUGCGGUUCAAUUGGAGUCAACGCCGGG